CCUACGGGAGGCUGCAGUGGGGAAUAUUGGACAAUGGGGGGAACCCUGAUCCAGCCAUGCCGCGUGUGUGAAGAAGGCCCUCGGGUUGUAAAGCACUUUCAGUGAGGAAGAACGCCUGGUGGUUAAUACCCAUCAGGAAAGACAUCACUCACAGAAGAAGCACCGGCUAACUCCGUGCCAGCAGCCGCGGUAAUACGGAGGGUGCGAGCGUUAAUCGGAAUUACUGGGCGUAAAGCGCGCGUAGGUGGCUUGAUAAGCCGGUUGUGAAAGCCACGGGCUCAACCUGGGAACGGCAUCCGGAACUGUCAAGCUAGAGUGCAGGAGAGGAAGGUAGAAUUCCCGGUGUAGCGGUGAAAUGCGUAGAGAUCGGGAGGAAUACCAGUGGCGAAGGCGGCCUUCUGGACUGACACUGACACUGAGGUCCGAAAGCGUGGGUAGCAAACAGGAUUAGAUACCCGAGUAGUC
RNAcentral lists this ribosomal RNA (465 nucleotides) under Vreelandella stevensii. RNAcentral describes it as "partial 16S ribosomal RNA". It matches the Rfam family "Bacterial small subunit ribosomal RNA", at positions 338 to 795 of the family's 1533-position model. Lineage: Bacteria; Pseudomonadati; Pseudomonadota; Gammaproteobacteria; Oceanospirillales; Halomonadaceae. The record is from RNAcentral.